This 1137-nucleotide long non-coding RNA is filed under the name Bos indicus x Bos taurus (hybrid cattle). RNAcentral's name for it is "lncRNA (ENSBIXG00005027139.1)". Lineage: Eukaryota; Metazoa; Chordata; Mammalia; Artiodactyla; Bovidae. The record is from RNAcentral.
GGGGGGGGGGGGCGUCCUAAGGAGAAGGAAGCUGGGGGCCCAGACUCCCGGCGUCUGCGGGAGGAGGGGCUGGGGGUCUGGACUCCCGUGUCCGCGGGGAGGAGGGGGCUGCGGACCCGGACUCCCGAGUUUGAAGGGAGGGAGGUGGAGGCUGGCGCCUGGCCUCCUGGGACUGAGGCGGGCUGAGGGCUGAGCGAGCCAGGCCGGGCUUCCGAGGUCUCGGCACGCGUGUGGAAGGCGGGAUCCCCCGGCCCCUCCUCCGCCGUCGGGCGCCGCCCCGCCCCCGCCCCCGACCCGGGCCCUCCGGAGCGUGUGCAGCGAGGAGCCGGCGGGCGAGCAGGCGUCCCUACAGCCAGCGAGCAGGAGGAGGAGCCGCCGCCGCGCCGGAGACGGCCGGGGGAGCCGAGGAGGGCGCCCCAGGUGGUUGCCCCCUCCCUCUCCUGAGAUGUCAGGAAGGAGGGGGUCACCUGUGUCCCCAGCAGGGGCCCCCCGGAGCCUGGGGGCCCCCAGCCCCGGAGCUCGGAGGUGGAGGAGGUGCUGACAGGUCCAGUAACCACCCACUGCUUCUCAGUCCUUUCCCAGAACCCACGGGCUUCCAGAAUGUUCUAGAGAAACUGCAGCAUCUAUGCCCCCACCAGCAUCUCCCAGCCCUGGCCAAUUUCAUGGAUAGGGAAACCGAAGCCUCACCUGGGAGGAAGUGUCUUACCUUCUUACAGGCAGUUUUAAGCUGAACUUGGGUCUCUCUGGAACUACAGGGCAUGACCAUUCUCAGAAAUUUUGGAGCUUCAAACCUCAUCCAGGCUGCAGGACUUAGGGUUCCUUGGGGUUGUAGAGGCAAAAUGGCAGAGUGGAGUUGCUGGGACAUGUUUUGAGUCCCACCUCUGGCAUUUGCUGGCUGUGUGACCUGGUUCAAGUUACUAGCCUCUCUGAGCUUGUAUUUCCCCCUUUAUUGGCUAUUAUUAAUACUAAUAGUAGAAUAAGUAUGAUUAAUCUAGAGGCUGGGCAUUAUCAAAGUCCUAAAAUAUAGGGGUCCUCCAAGCUUCUAGAACCUGUGGUUCUAUCAUGCAGAUGCCCCUGGAGUAGCCAUGUGUCCCCCCACGAAGUUAUCAUCCUCCUAAUUCCAGCUUCCCUCUGUCU